UAAUUGAAGAGUUUGAUCCUGGCUCAGAUUGAACGCUGGCGGCAUGGCUAAAACAUGCAAGUCGAACGCGAA
This 72-nucleotide ribosomal RNA is filed under the name Phycisphaerae bacterium. Its description in RNAcentral is "partial 16S ribosomal RNA". It matches the Rfam family "Bacterial small subunit ribosomal RNA", at positions 1 to 72 of the family's 1533-position model. Lineage: Bacteria; Pseudomonadati; Planctomycetota; Phycisphaerae. The record is from RNAcentral.